GGCCGGUUGGCCCAAUGGCAAGGCGUCUGACUACGAUUGAGUAGAGCAUCAGGAGAUUCUGGGUUCGACCCCCAGGCUGGUCA
RNAcentral lists this transfer RNA (83 nucleotides) under Colletotrichum higginsianum. RNAcentral's name for it is "tRNA CH063_16240". It matches the Rfam family "tRNA". Rfam says of the family: Transfer RNA (tRNA) molecules are approximately 80 nucleotides in length. The record is from Rfam by way of RNAcentral. Lineage: Eukaryota; Fungi; Ascomycota; Sordariomycetes; Glomerellales; Glomerellaceae. RNAcentral also lists the same sequence under 1 other name.